Molecule: non-coding RNA, 219 nt
Organism: Paramuricea clavata
Lineage: Eukaryota; Metazoa; Cnidaria; Anthozoa; Malacalcyonacea; Plexauridae
Source: the annotation of a GenBank genome assembly
UGCGUUUUUGACUCGUGUUCGUCAGUUUUUGACUCGUGUCCACUCGUGUUCGUCAUUUUUGACUCGUGUCCACUCGUGUUCGUCAUUUUUGACUCGUGUUCACUCGUGUUCGUCAUUUUUGACUCGUGUCCACUCGUGUUCGUCAUUUUUGACUCGUGUUCACUCGUGUUCGUCAGUUUUUGACUCGUGUUCACUCGUGUUCGUCAUUUUUGACUCGUG